UACGUAGGUGGCAAGCGUUGUCCGGAUUUAUUGGGCGUAAAGCGAGCGCAGGCGGUUCCUUAAGUCUGAUGUGAAAGCCCACGGCUCAACCGUGGAAGGUCAUUGGAAACUGGGGAACUUGAGUGCAGAAGAGGAGAGUGGAAUUCCAUGUGUAGCGGUGAAAUGCGUAGAUAUCAGGAGGAACACCAGUAGCGAAGGCGGUUCUCUGGGCCGGCACUGACGCUGAGGAGCGAAAGCGUGGGGAGCAAACAGGAUUAGAUA
Molecule: ribosomal RNA, 261 nt
Filed under: uncultured prokaryote
Description: partial 16S ribosomal RNA
Rfam family: Bacterial small subunit ribosomal RNA
Source: RNAcentral